AACGGCGAGUGAAGCGGCAACAGCUCAAAUUUGAAAUCUGGCUCUUUUAGGGUCCGAGUUGUAAUUUGCAGAGGGCGCUUUGGCGUUGGCAGUGGUCUAAGUUCUUUGGAACAGGACGUCACAGAGGGUGAGAAUCCCGUACGUGGUCGCUAGCCUUCGCCGUGUAAAGCCCCUUCGACGAGUCGAGUUGUUUGGGAAUGCAGCUCUAAAUGGGAGGUAAAUUUCUUCUAAAGCUAAAUACUGGCCAGAGACCGAUAGCGCACAAGUAGAGUGAUCGAAAGAUGAAAAGCACUUUGGAAAGAGAGUCAAAUAGCACGUGAAAUUGUUGAAAGGGAAGCGCUUGCAGCCAGACUUGCCUGUAGUUGCUUAUCCGGACUUUUGUCCGGUGCACUCUUCUGCGGGCAGGCCAGCAUCAGUUUAGGCGGUUGGAUAAAGGUCUCUAUCACGUACCUCCCUUCGGGGUUGGCCUUAUAGGGGAGACGACAUGCAACCAGCUUGAACUGAGGUCCGCGCAUCUGCUAGGAUGCUGGCGUAAUGGCUGUAAGCGGCCCGUCUUGAAACACGGACCAAGGAGUCUAACAUCUAUGCGAGUGUUUGGGUGUCAAGCCCAGACGCGUAAUGAAAGUGAACGGAGGUGGGAACCUUUUAGGUGCACCAUCGACCGAUCCUGAUGUCUUCGGAUGGAUUUGAGUAAGAGCAUGGCUGUUGGGACCCGAAAGAUGGUGAACUAUGCUUGAAUAGGGUGAAGCCAGAGGAAACUCUGGUGGAGGCUCGCAGCGGUUCUGACGUGCAAAUCGAUCGUC
Molecule: ribosomal RNA, 803 nt
Filed under: Septoriella callistemonis
Lineage: Eukaryota; Fungi; Ascomycota; Dothideomycetes; Pleosporales; Phaeosphaeriaceae
Description: partial large subunit ribosomal RNA
Rfam family: Eukaryotic large subunit ribosomal RNA
Source: RNAcentral